RNAcentral lists this ribosomal RNA (253 nucleotides) under uncultured bacterium. RNAcentral's name for it is "partial 16S ribosomal RNA". It matches the Rfam family "Bacterial small subunit ribosomal RNA", at positions 524 to 776 of the family's 1533-position model. The record is from RNAcentral.
UACAGAGGGUGCAAGCGUUAAUCGGAAUUACUGGGCGUAAAGAGUGCGUAGGUGGUUAAAUAAGUUAGAUGUGAAAUCCCUGGGCUUAACCUAGGAACUGCGUUUAAUACUGUUUAUCUAGAGUAUUGUAGAGGAAAGUGGAAUUUCCGGUGUAGCGGUGAAAUGCGUAGAUAUCGGAAGGAACACCAGUGGCGAAGGCGACUUUCUGGACAUAUACUGACACUGAGGUACGAAAGCGUGGGGAGCAAACAGG